UGCACUUUCUCAGGAUAGAUGGCAGUAGGAGAUAAAUUCUCAUUGUCCUAUUGUGGAGUUAAAUUGCAUGUGACUGAAACCUAACCUACAUACAAAGUACACUGAAAAUGGAGUGAGGUGGGGGAACUUGAUUCUGUAUUCUCUGUAAGUCAGUGGAUACUUCCUACUGUGGGAGGAUGUGCUUGACCUAAAGCAGCUCUUUAAAAUACUUGAUGCAUUCAGACUCCUUGUUUGAAAAGUACAUUUAGCUUCUUAUCCACUACAGCUUAUCUGGAAAUAAAUGCGAAUAUUCCAUGAUCUCAGGAUCACCAAGUGAUCUGCAUUGAGUUUAAACUUUACUUUAAACAGCAGCAGUAACUUGUUUGCAAGGGAGUUCUUGAAUAUUGCCACAUCCUUUCAGUUUUUUGAAGUUGUUUCACCUCUAAUGUGACUGUUUUUACCUACUGCAUGGGAUUGAGGUAAACUGCGUAUAAUUGAGACUUAAAAUUAGAUACAGAAACCCAUAUCAGUUUUUCUAUGAGGAAACAAGUUCUAGGACAAGAAAACUGCUUUAGUUUACCUAAUUAAUUUAAUUCCUUCAGGCAUAGAGAUGAGGAGAGAGGUGAAAAGCUGCAUAAUGAGCAGGGAAUGUUUGUUUUGAGACACAUCAAUGAGUCUUUCAUUUGUUCAUGAAUUCUGAUUGCUCUGAAAAGUCAUCCUUUUUAGGUGUUCCCACUCUUUAAUCCAGAACGCUCACAGAAAUUCAGUCCUCAGGCCCCAGUUGGGUAUACUGGACCUAAAGUAGUACACCAGCAGUGGUUGAGAGCAAUCACUCAUCUGAAUAACUAAGUGGUAAAGUGUCUGAUUUUACCUUUUUUUUAUUAUUUCUCAUUUCAAUAUUGUCCCAUAUUGAAUGUAAUGAACAAUAAUUCUUUGGAGAGUCAGUCCAUUCUUGUUCUUUUAAGUUCUAUCUUUUGUAAAUGAUAUGCUGCCAGCAGCAUUUCUUAGAGAUUUUUUUUCCAUAUUCUACUUACAGCUGCCUAUUAUGCAUUAAAUAUAUGCAUGUAAGCCUACAUGCAGUGCCUUAAGGGGAAGAAACACCUUGUAACUGUACUGUGACUUAGUUAUGAAAAUAAGCUGACAUCAGUCACAGUUGGCCAAAAUUUACAGGACUACCAAAUGGUAAUACAAACAAUUACAGGAACAGUAAGCGUGUUUCCUCAAACAGUUUAACAGGUUCAAUGAAAAUAUAACAUUUUGAAAAUAAAAACAGAGAGGCAGUUGCCAGACCUUAAUGCUACAAAUAAUUUUGAACAAUGAAAGCAAAGUUAGUGGGCUUGUUCCUUAAGCAUAGGGUAAGAAGUUAAUUAAUGGUGCUGCUUGCUUUCUUUUUUAUAUCUAGAUAUUUACAAAAUUCUAGGUUAGCACUAGGUUUCUCUUCAAUCUUAUAAAUCCUUGAGGUUCAACAUAAUGGUAUUGACAGAAAAAUUUUCCAAAUAUAUGUGGGGAGAUGGAUUAGGUUUACAGUGUCACUGACUCUUCCACUGCAGUAGCAUGUCUUUCCUUCUUAGAUAAGGAUGACUUAGGACAAGACAAAAAGCAAGGAAUGCUUCCUUUAGGGAAGAGAAAAGGAGCAGGUGAACAGGUGAAAUAGCCAUCUUGACAGCAGAGAGGGACUUGGUGCUAAGUGCAUUGUGGUGAAGAAGGAAAUUAAUUGUUGUCUCCUUGCAGUAGAACUAUGAAGUGAUUUAAAACUGAUUUAAAUCAAAUAGUAUAAAGUUUUAGGUUGAAUGAGAAACAUGUUGAAAAAAGUGCUUUCUAAAAUGCACAUUUCUCCUUUUAAAGAACAUCUUUAGUUUUCUUCCUACCUAUCCUAAUUACUUAAUAAUGCAUGGAAGGAUGUAAGGGUAUAACUUUUGAAUAAUUCCUGGCUUGAUAUCAUUUGCUGUUGAGGAUUAGAGGUUAUACAGAGUUGAAUACAGCAAGAUCUUUAAAUGAGAUUCUAUAUCCUGUCUUCUCUGAAGAGUGAGGUGAGAUAAAAAUACUGUAUUUUAUAUAAUAUAUACUGUGAUGUGAAAAGCAGCAUUUCUUAGGAAGAAUCACACCAUGCAAAGUCUGUGUAGCAAAGUACAAGUUUCUGAUUUAUUGUAAAGUAAUAUUCUUUCAAUAUAAUAAUGGUUAAAAAGCUUUCCUGUUUGGAAUAUAUUUUUCAAAUAUGUUCUGAUUAAGCAUUUGCUUCUAAACAUGCCAUAUGCCCUGUGCAUCUCUCACAGUCACAGUGGAAGGCACUAAAUUGUUACCCAUUUUAUGCCCAACUGAGUGAGUUGUGUAGUUACUGUGAUGUCACGAUGUAUAAGACAAGAGUAGAUUAUUUGAUCAUUUAGUCUCUGAAUUCUUUGUGCCUGAUAGUGAGCAUCUCACUGGCUGAUACAGAUGGCUUAUUUUGAGGACAGUGUAAUUUUUCUGAAUGAUUAGUCCCACUGAUUGAACACAGUCAUGCUUAAAACUAUUUCACUUUUAACCUGAAAGUUUUUAUUAUGUCACUGUUAUCAUUAUCUUACUUUCUUGUCAUGAAGACAUCUCAUGCUAAUCAUCUCAACUUGAUUUUCUAUUGAUAAGCUAAGUUGGCUCACAUAUCCUUUUGAAAAAUGUUCAGAUUCUUUAGUUUUUGAAAACUUUUCUGGUCCAGAAAGCUGCUACUGAGUGCUGUCCUGCUUUUUAGUCCCUAGCUUGUUUUAUCUUCUUUAACUGUAAUACGUUGGGAUUUGAGGGGGAGCAAAAAAAAAAAAAAGAGGAGUUCCUGCCAUCAAAAAUACUGCCUUGUAUUUUAGUCCCACGUCCUGUAUUCCCUGUGGGUUUUCUUGGGGUUUUUAAUGUGGAACUUUGUGGAAAAACAUAAUUUUUGUUUGCCAUCCCCUUUUCUUAAUGGAACCAAUUAGCCAACCAAAGAAGAUUUGUUUUUUCUUACCACUUCAACCACUGACAUCCAGCUAUUUUGCUUUCGGUGAUAGGCAUCAGUGGGCUGAAGCUGAUGAGCAAAAUAGGGAGUAGCAUCAAGCCUUAAUACCACAGUUCUGGCAGAAUUCUGUUAAAACCAGAAAGAACUGCAAUUGUAAUACAAACCCUUUCUGGAACAAGACUAAGGUUUGGCUGUCAAGACUUCCAAGUAAUUUCAGCACUUGAAGCAGAGAAGUGGAAAUCAUUAAACACAAUUCUAAUUGGAGCACAUCAGAUAACGUACCUGACAGAAGUCUGUUACAUACACUGGGGCUUUAUGUUUAUUCACUUAGCUCAUCAGAGGACUCUUGAAAGAUACAGAUUAAUUACCUCUUUUUUAUUGGCACAAUCUCCCUUACCUGAGUUAGGUAUCUAACUAACCAGCUGUGAUCACAUACGUGCUUUAUUUUAGAAAGUCACCUUAUCACUCUUAUUUGUCUCUCUGUUAACUAUCAACAUCAGUGGUGCAGGAGCAUUUUAAGAUGGUUAGGACAGUAAUGUUUCAAUUCUCAUUUGUGUUCUUCACGCUCAUUAGUGAGAAAAUUUGGAAUUUCAUUUUUAUGCAAGUACUUUUUUUCCCCCCAGUAUGGAAGAGAAAGCUAUUCACUACUCUUUUUUCUGUUUUAUAAUGAAACAUUAAUACUGCUGUUCCACAAAAAGAACAAUAAGAAAUAACCAUGACUGACUUCCUGUUGUUGUCAGCCAUAUAUUUUUCCCUAAUGCUUUUUGUCAUUCAUCAGUGCAAGCUUAAAAUCCACUCCUCUUAUCAUGUUUAUGCUAAUGAACUCGAAGAAAAGCUUGAUUUUCAAAGAAUGGACAACUUGCCAUUCUAGCCAAAUAGAAUAAAUAUUUUAUUUGCAAAUUUUACAAAUUGGAUGUUUUGAUUAAACAGAAUUUCUCACAAUUAUAAUUUGCAGAAUUAUUCUUUUCAGGUAGAAUCACAUUUAAGGUACUGCAAUAAGAUUUUUACUUUUUUUUUAAAAAAGUAUUUCUAAAUUCAAAUAUCACUCUUUAAAAUGUAUUUUCAUUGGAGACUAUGUAACUGGGUAGUCUUAAGAUGAGUCACCUUUUGCUUCUAUAGCUGUCAUGGAAACUGGUGAGAUUGAAACAUUAAAAAAAAAGGGAAAGGUAGCGGUACUUUAAAAUUCAUAUACAUCAUACCUGUAGAAUAGUUUCUCUUAGUAAGAACUAAGAACUUACUGUUAAUUAAUAGAGGACAGCCUUUGCAAAAACACAGACAAAUGCUAGUGCAUCUCACUGAUCUUGAGUCUUGUGUAUUCACAGCAACUCUUGCCUACUGCAACACUCCUAUUGCUGCAGUGAGAGUUGAUGCACAAUGCAAAAAACUUUAAUUAUGUUUUUGCAUUUAUCUGGGAAAAUUGCAUGUUCAAAUCUUAACAAACAGCCCCAAAUCCUACAGGAUUGUUCCCUAUUAAAGGGGACUCACAGCUGACUUGACCCUGAAGUUGAAUGUGUGCAAAUACAAUUCUAGUGUCUAGGUGGAUCUGUUGCUGAUUUUCUCUUCAGGGGGCUUUCUGUGCCUCAUAAUCUAAGCAGUUGCUUUAACAUGAACUUCAUCAGAUAUCCUUGUGUCUUAAUUCUUAGUUCUUUGUUUAAAUGUCUGGUACUUGGGUAUAAAAUGCCAAACUUGACACAGCAUGGGACAACUGCAGGAGUACACGUUGAGACCUUGACUCCAUGAACUGAUUUUAUACUCAUCAUUGCAGUUCAGCAGCCACUGUUCUUUGGGUUUUCCAUCUAUUUUUACCUCUAUUUUAAAUAAGAUUUUAAAUGAGAUUUUGUUAAAUCCAGAUAUUACUUGUAAAAGUGGAUUGGGGCUUUUUGUUUUUAACAAAGCUUUCAGAAUCAUAGGCCAUACUUUGAGUCACGGUAAAUGUACAUUUUAAAAUAGAAAACUCCUCAAAAGAUUAAAAAAAAAAAAAAAAGAAAAAAAUCACAAUUACAGGCUUUGAAACAUUACAGUCAAUCUCUUCAGACAUGUGAAGAGAUUUAAGAGCACAAAUUACUUUUCCUCAGAAGCAAAAAAUCCACAGAACAACAAGCUUUCCUUGCUAUAUUUUAAUUUUUCAAACUCAGACAUUAGUAUCUGUACUUUACAUUAGCUCAGAUGUUAAGGCUGUUGCUGUGUUUUUAGUGAUAGAACUUUAUGUGAAGUCACAUAAAUGAAUCUUAAUCUGGAAAAUAAUCCUGUUUAGAUUUAAUUAUUUCUGUGUAUUCAGAAAAUAAAAAAGGGCUGCUGUUCACAGUUCUUUGUCAGCUAACACUGCUUUUAAGAUCAGCAAAAGUGUACAGUGCUUUCUAGUCAUCUUUCAUUUGUCCAAGCUUUAAGUAAUCUAUUACUGUACAACAUAUGAGAGUAUAGAAUUAAAUUUCAUGCCUUUCUUUUUAAUGUUUGUUAAUCAGCUUUACUUGGAAUUCAGUUUUGAUGGAUCCAUUUCAAAUACUGCUCUAAUUGAGUAUAACCAUCUAUUAUUAAAAUACACAUCUGAAAAUCAGACACCUCUGAGGAUCAUCAAGAGGGCAGAAAUUUCAAGUGCUCAUUAAUGAAGACCUGUUCCUUUUGCCUUGCCCUCCGUAAAACCAGACCCUUUUUAGUCAGUGGUAUUCAAAUCUAUAUGCUGUGACAGCACUACCCUCUCAACCUAGGAAAGAAUUUCCAGAUGGUGCCAGAUCUUCAAGAUGGGAAAAUACAUUUAAGAGACAGCUUUGGAAACAUACACUGACACUUAAGAUAUAGGGGGGAAAGUAGUUUUGUGAUAUUAGUUAGAACUCUUUAAAAUUUAUAUUACGCACUUCUACUACUAGGUUUCACUGUGGGUGCCAAAGAGCAUUUCUAUAGUGACUGCUUAGGAAUAGUAGGAAAAGGGAAGGCAAGACUCAGGUUCUGAUCUGUCUUAGGACUCAUGCUGGUCUCUAAUAGUUCUCACUAAUUCUGCUGCAGUUUUAAAAUAUGCUUGGGUUUUUUAUCUGCUAUCUGUUUGUAACCACACUAAUACAGUGAUGAGCUCUCUCAGAUAAGACUUAUUAUUCAUCAGAAUGACUUCUUAAACGCAUCUGUAUAUGAGCUAAUAAAAUGUUGAGAUACUGUCUAAACUGUUCAAUCAGUUUUUAAUAAAGCUGUAGAUUUCAGUUAAAACAGAACUGUUAAUAAAUACAGAAUACAGUAGACCAAGUUAUACUUUCCUCUUAAUUAUACUGACUUCUUACUAAUCCAGAUGAAACAUUUGCAGUGCUUCAUUUUCAUCUGUUUUUAGUAAUCAUCAUAAAUGUAUCCAUAUGCAUAAUUGUGCUGCUGUAGCUUUUUUUUCUCAAUAAUUAGCUACACCAUAUGUUUCCCAUGUCAUUAUCUGAAUCAACAUCUAAAGUAUGCUUAAUUUUUUACAGUAGCACUUGGACUCUCAUUCAGGAUAAGUGGAAACCAUUCAAUUAUAGUAAGAGCUGUCAUGUGUCUCCUCAACACAUUUUUAAGGUAUUGUUUUAGGGUGGUCUUUUAAAGGACUUUUUAUACUUUAAGAAUCUCAAGAAUUGGUUUGGAAAAGUAGGUGUAGAUACAGGAGAGUUGAUGGAUCCAGAUUUUAGUUUCUUCUAUUUUAUUCAUCUGUAUCUGUGCAGAGAUUCAGAUCUGCCUCCAAUUCUGUUUAUUUUUCUCCUUCCUCUACUCCUUAUCUUUAGGUGAAAGAUAUAUGUUAUAUACUAAUAACAACCUCUUCAGUGAGUUUUAAUCAGUUUUUCUUCUUU
Empidonax traillii (willow flycatcher) is the source of this 6735-nucleotide long non-coding RNA. RefSeq lists it as uncharacterized. The record is from RefSeq and is a predicted model, not a curated record. NCBI's taxonomy places the organism in Eukaryota, Metazoa, Chordata, Aves, Passeriformes, Tyrannidae. The transcript has 3 exons.